GAUGAACGCUGGCGGCGUGCUUAACACAUGCAAGUCGAACGAAGCACUUUAUUUGAUUUCCUUCGGGACUGAUUAUUUUGUGACUGAGUGGCGGACGGGUGAGUAACGCGUGGGUAACCUGCCUUGUACAGGGGGAUAACAUUUGGAAACGGCUGCUAAUGCCGCAUAAGCGCCCAGCAUCGCAUGAUGCAGUGUGAAAAACUCCGGUGGUAUAAGAGGGACCCGCGUUGGAUAAGCUAGUUGGUGAGGUAACGGCCCACCAAGGCGACGAUCCAUAGCCGAGAUGAGAGGGUGACCGGACACAUUUGGACUGAGCCACGGCCCAAAAUCCUACGCGAGGCAGCAGUGGGGAAUAUUGCAAAAUGGGCGAAAGCAUGAUGCAGCGACGACGCGUGAGCGCAGAAGUAUUUCGGUAUGUAAAGCUCUAUCAGCAGGGAAGAUAAUGACGGUACCUGACUAAGAAGCACCGGCUAAAUACGUG
RNAcentral lists this ribosomal RNA (481 nucleotides) under uncultured bacterium. Its description in RNAcentral is "partial 16S ribosomal RNA". It matches the Rfam family "Bacterial small subunit ribosomal RNA", at positions 28 to 507 of the family's 1533-position model. The record is from RNAcentral.